UGGGGAAUAUUGGACAAUGGGCGAAAGCCUGAUCCAGCCAUGCCGCGUGUGUGAAGAAGGUCUUCGGAUUGUAAAGCACUUUAAGUUGGGAGGAAGGGCAGUAAGCUAAUACCUUGCUGUUUUGACGUUACCGACAGAAUAAGCACCGGCUAACUCUGUGCCAGCAGCCGCGGUAAUACAGAGGGUGCAAGCGUUAAUCGGAAUUACUGGGCGUAAAGCGCGCGUAGGUGGUUUGUUAAGUUGGAUGUGAAAGCCCCGGGCUCAACCUGGGAACUGCAUCCAAAACUGGCAGGCUAGAGUACGGUAGAGGGUGGUGGAAUUUCCUGUGUAGCGGUGAAAUGCGUAGAUAUAGGAAGGAACACCAGUGGCGAAGGCGACCACCUGGACUGAUACUGACACUGAGGUGCGAAAGCGUGGGGAGCAAACA
RNAcentral lists this ribosomal RNA (427 nucleotides) under uncultured bacterium. RNAcentral describes it as "partial 16S ribosomal RNA". It matches the Rfam family "Bacterial small subunit ribosomal RNA", at positions 355 to 774 of the family's 1533-position model. The record is from RNAcentral.